RNAcentral lists this long non-coding RNA (655 nucleotides) under Ovis aries (sheep). RNAcentral's name for it is "lncRNA (ENSOARG00000026738.1)". The record is from RNAcentral. Lineage: Eukaryota; Metazoa; Chordata; Mammalia; Artiodactyla; Bovidae.
AGUCCCUGGGUUGGGAAGAUCCCCUGGAGGAGGGCAUGACCACCCGCUCUAGGACUCUUGCCUGGAAAAUUUCAUGAGCAGGGGAGCCUGGCAGGCUACAGUCCAUAGCAUAACAGAGUUGGACAUGACUGAGCGACUGAAUGGACCUGAACUGAUAGUCUUAUGAAUUAGUUCAGCCAGUGGUUUGGGAAUGGAAGUGUCUAGAUCAUCUCCUUAAAGUUACAAGUCCUGGGCUUCUGUUCUCUCCUUUUUCUGCAGGCUGGGUCACUGACAUAGAGGUGACCCAGCUUUCGGCAUGUAGAUAAGGACAACACCCUGGGGACCAGUGGAAGGAGCCUCCGUCCUGACCGGACCAUGUGGAGGAGAAAAGCCCAGCCCACCCUGCUGCUCAUCUCCAGACUGCUGUUUGACUCAUCAUACAUUCGGGCCUCUUGUCACGGUAUUACUCUCCAAUAAAUUUUCUAACUCCAUUUCAGCAUCUGCUUCUCAGAGAAUGCAAGUUCAAUAGUUGGUAUCAAGAAUGACCUGAGAAAGCAAGUAAUGAGACAAAGGUCUGGGGACUAGGUCACUCACCACCCACCACCCACCAUCACUUCAUAUGAAGACCUGCAUCCCUGGUGGUAAGUGGUGUGCAGACAGCCCCUGGCAUUAAAUG